Molecule: long non-coding RNA, 506 nt
Organism: Micropterus salmoides (largemouth bass)
Lineage: Eukaryota; Metazoa; Chordata; Actinopteri; Centrarchiformes; Centrarchidae
Exons: 2
Source: RefSeq, a predicted model, not a curated record
GGGUGGCGCUGUUGAUCUCUGUCUGCUUCAACCUGCCCUCCAUCACCUUCAGCUGGGAAUCCUUCUGAGACGCCUGCAGACCCUGACAAUGACCACACAGCAGGUUGCCGGGAGGCGUGUCUGUUGCCUGGGGAGCUGAUUACACACACCUGCACAUGAUUUGCACUCCCUCGGGUUCCUGUCCUCUUUAAGUGGCGGCCUGACAUCCUGUCCUCGCCGGAUCGUUAUGUCGUUUUUUCGUACGUCUUGGCUACCAGCUCGCUUAAAUUAGAUUUGUACCUGUAACUCUGCCCAUUUGCCAAACUUGUUACUAACCUGUGUCUCCUGUGUUCAGGAACUCAACCGGACCCGUCGGAAACCAACUCUCCUCCCCUACCUCCUGGACCUCACUCUCCUGCCUGUUUCUCCGCCCUGAUCCCAAUCAGCUUCCCUCGCCUGUUUGCUCUGCCUGCCCCGGCCUCUGCAGCCGCAACCAGCUCUUUGUUUAAUAAAUCUCUGAGAACAAG